UUCCGGUUGAUCCCGCCGCCGGACACUGCUAUCAAGUUCCGACUAAGCCAUGCGAGUCAAGGUAUCGUAAGAUGCCGGCAAACUGCUCAGUAACACGUGGAUAAUCUAACCUUGAAUAUGGGAUAACUUCGGGAAACUGAAGGUAAUACCUUAUAAUUGCUUAAAACUGGAAUGUUUUUGCAAUAAAAGUUACGACGCUCAAGGAUGAGUCUGCGACCUAUCAGGUAGUAGGUGGUGUAAUGGACCACCUAGCCUCAGACGGGUACGGGCCCUGGGAGGGGUAGCCCGGAGAUGGACUCUGAGACAUAAGUCCAGGCCCUACGGGGCGCAGCAGGCGCGAACACUGUGCAAUGCCCGAAAGCGCGACACGGGGAGCUUGAGUGUCUUGGCAUAGCCAAGACUUUUCUCAUUCCUAAAAAGCAUGAGGAAUAAGUGCUGGGUAAGACGGGUGCCAGCCGCCGCGGUAACACCCGCAGCACGAGUAGUGGUCACUUUUAUUGAGCCUAAAGCGUUCGUAGCCGGUUUUGUAAAUCUUCAGAUAAAGCCUGAAGCUUAACUCCAGAAAGUCUGAAGAGACUGCAAGACUUGAGAUCGGGUGAGGUUAAACGUACUUUCAGGGUAGGGGUAAAAUCCUGUAAUCCCGGAAGGACGACCAGUGGCGAAAGCGUUUAACUAGAACGAAUCUGACGGUAAGGAACGAAGGCUAGGGUAGCAAACCGGAUUAGAUACCCGGGUAGUCCUAGCUGUAAACAUUGCCCAUUUGAUGUUGCUUUUCCGUUGAGGGAAGGCAGUGUCGGAGCGAAGGUGUUAAAUGGGCCGCUUGGGAAGUAUGGUCGCAAGACUGAAACUUAAAGGAAUAGGCGGGGGAGCACCGCAACGGGAGGAAUGUGCGGUUUAAUUGGAUUCAACGCCGGGA
Molecule: ribosomal RNA, 916 nt
Filed under: uncultured archaeon
Lineage: Archaea
Description: bacterial SSU rRNA
Rfam family: Archaeal small subunit ribosomal RNA
Source: RNAcentral